AGCGAACGCUGGCGGCAGGCCUAACACAUGCAAGUCGAACGAACCUUUCGGGGUUAGUGGCGGAUGGGUGAGUCACACGAGGGGACGUUCCCUCAGGGUCGGUCUAACUCAGGGAAACGUGUGCUAAUACCGAACGUGUGCUACGGGGGCAUGAUUUAUCGCCUUUAGAGCGGCCAGCGUCUGAUUAGCUAGUUGGUUGAGGUAAUGGCUCACCAAGGCGACGAUCAGUAGCUGGUCUGAGAGGAUGAUCAGCCACAUUGGGACUGAGACACGGACCAAACUCCUGGGGGAGGCAGCAGUGGGGAAUCUUGCGCAAUGGGCGAAAGCCUGACGCAGCCAGGCCGCGUGAAUGAUGAAGUUGUGAGGAUUGUAAAAUUCUUUCAACGGGGAAGAUAAUGACGGUACCCAGAGAAGAAGCCACGGCUAACUUCGUG
RNAcentral lists this ribosomal RNA (434 nucleotides) under uncultured bacterium. RNAcentral describes it as "partial 16S ribosomal RNA". It matches the Rfam family "Bacterial small subunit ribosomal RNA", at positions 29 to 507 of the family's 1533-position model. The record is from RNAcentral.